GACAAACGCUGGCGGCGUGCCUAAUACAUGCAAGUCGAGCGCAGGAAACUGACGGAACUCUUCGGAGGGAAGGCAGUGGAAUGAGCGGCGGACGGGUGAGUAACACGUAAGGAACCUGCCUCAAGGAUUGGGAUAACUCCGAGCAAUCGGAGCUAAUACCGGAUAGUUCAACGGACCGCAUGGUCCGCUGAUGAAAGGCGCUUCGGCGUCACCUUGAGAUGGCCUUGCGGUGCAUUAGCUAGUUGGUGGGGUAACGGCCGACCAAGGCGACGAUGCAUAGCCGACCUGAGAGGGUGAUCGGCCACACUGGGACUGAGACACGGCCCAGACUCCUACGGGAGGCAGCAGUAGGGAAUCUUCCACAAUGGACGAAAGUCUGAUGGAGCAACGCCGCGUGAGUGAUGAAGGUUUUCGGAUCGUAAAACUCUGUUGUAAGGGAAGAACACGUACGAGAGGUAAUGCUCGUACCUUGACGGUACCUUACGAGAAAGCCACGGCUAACUACGUGCCAGCAGCCGCGGUAA
RNAcentral lists this ribosomal RNA (524 nucleotides) under uncultured bacterium. RNAcentral's name for it is "partial 16S ribosomal RNA". It matches the Rfam family "Bacterial small subunit ribosomal RNA", at positions 28 to 523 of the family's 1533-position model. The record is from RNAcentral.